UUCGGCGACCGAGGCCGGGAUGACAGGGACGGUCCGCGGUAUGGUUCCAGGGACGGCCCGCGUGAUAGCAGGGACGGGCCGCGCUACGAGCCGAGCGACGGACCGCGCGGCGAUUCCAGGGACGGCCCCCGCUACGGAGGCAGGGACGGACCAGACAGCGCCGAGGGCUCCACAGCCGACGGCGACCGGGCGGCACCGGCGCGGCCCAAGCUGAACCUGAAGCCGCGCUCGGUGCCGGCCGAGGAGAUCGGAAAGCCGGCGGCGUCCAGCAGCAUCUUCGGCGGAGCGCGGCCCGUCGACACGACGGCGCGCGAGCGCGAGGUGGAGGAGCGGCUCAAGGGCCUGUCGACGGAGCGGGCCGC
Molecule: long non-coding RNA, 362 nt
Organism: Pollicipes pollicipes
Lineage: Eukaryota; Metazoa; Arthropoda; Thecostraca; Pollicipedomorpha; Pollicipedidae
Exons: 4
Source: RefSeq, a predicted model, not a curated record